Molecule: ribosomal RNA, 253 nt
Filed under: uncultured bacterium
Lineage: Bacteria
Description: partial 16S ribosomal RNA
Rfam family: Bacterial small subunit ribosomal RNA
Source: RNAcentral
UACAGAGGGGGCAAGCGUUGUUCGGAAUUACUGGGCGUAAAGGGCGCGUAGGCGGCCUUCUAAGUCGGAUGUGAAAUCCCCAGGCUCAACCUGGGAACUGCAUCCGAUACUGGAUGGCUUGAAUCCGGGAGAGGGAUGCAGAAUUCCAGGUGUAGCGGUGAAAUGCGUAGAUAUCUGGAGGAAUACCGGUGGCGAAGGCGGCAUCCUGGACCGGCAUUGACGCUGAGGAGCGAAAGCUAGGGGAGCAAACGGG